AGAAUAUUAUGUUAAUAAGGAAACUUCUAAUUUCCUAAAAAGCGGUUAAACUCCGUUUAUAUUCUA
Molecule: transfer RNA, 66 nt
Filed under: Longpotamon exiguum
Lineage: Eukaryota; Metazoa; Arthropoda; Malacostraca; Decapoda; Potamidae
Description: tRNA-Ser
Source: RNAcentral